RNAcentral lists this ribosomal RNA (274 nucleotides) under uncultured eukaryote. RNAcentral's name for it is "partial large subunit ribosomal RNA". It matches the Rfam family "Bacterial large subunit ribosomal RNA", at positions 2206 to 2478 of the family's 2925-position model. The record is from RNAcentral.
UGGUUUGUUUGAGGUUCUAACCUUGGCCCGUGAAUCCGGGUCGGGGACAGUGCAUGGUAGGCAGUUUGACUGGGGCGGUCUCCUCCCAAAGUGUAACGGAGGAGUUCGAAGGUACGCUUGGUACGGUCGGACAUCGUACCUAAAGUGCAAUGGCAAAAGCGUGCUUAACUGCGAGACCGACAAGUCGAGCAGGUGCGAAAGCAGGACAUAGUGAUCCGGUGGUUCUGUAUGGAAGGGCCAUCGCUCAACGGAUAAAAGGUACUCUAGGGAUAAC